UACGGAGGGUGCUAGCGUUAAUCGGAGUUACUGGGCGUAAAGGGCGCGUAGGCGGCUAAUUAAGUGGGGUGUGAAAUCCCUGGGCUUAACCUAGGAACUGCAUCUAAUACUGGAUAGCUAGAGUAUGGAAGAGGGUAGUGGAAUUUCCGGUGUAGCGGUGAAAUUCGUAGAUAUCGGGAGGAACACCGGUGGCGAAGGCGGCUACCUGGACAGAUACUGACGCUGAGGCGCGAAAGCGUGGGGAGCAAACAGG
This 253-nucleotide ribosomal RNA is filed under the name uncultured bacterium. RNAcentral's name for it is "partial 16S ribosomal RNA". It matches the Rfam family "Bacterial small subunit ribosomal RNA", at positions 524 to 776 of the family's 1533-position model. The record is from RNAcentral.